CCAGACUCCUACGGGAGGCAGCAGUGGGGAAUUUUGCGCAAUGGGCGAAAGCCUGACGCAGCAACGCCGCGUGAGUGAUGAAGGCUUUCGGGUCGUAAAGCUCUGUCGAGGGGAAAGAAGUGUAUUGUGGCUAAUAUCCACGAUACUUGACGGUACCCCUAAAGGAAGCACCGGCUAACUCCGUGCCAGCAGCCGCGGUAAUACGGGGGGUGCAAGCGUUGUUCGGAAUUAUUGGGCGUAAAGAGCGUGUAGGCGGUUUGCUGAGUCUGAUGUGAAAGCCCUGGGCUCAACCCAGGAAGUGCAUUGGAAACUGUCAGACUUGAAUACGGGAGAGGGCAGUGGAAUUCCUAGUGUAGGAGUGAAAUCCGUAGAUAUUAGGAGGAACACCGGUGGCGAAGGCGGCUGCCUGGACCGAUAUUGACGCUGAGACGCGAAAGCGUGGGUAGCAAACAGGAUUAGAUACCCUGGUAGUCCACGCCGUAAACGAUGAGAACUAGGUGUUGCGGGUAUUGACCCCUGCAGUGCCGCAGCUAACGCAUUAAGUUCUCCGCCUGGGAAGUACGGUCGCAAGACUAAAACUCAAAGGAAUUGACGG
This 595-nucleotide ribosomal RNA is filed under the name uncultured bacterium. RNAcentral describes it as "bacterial SSU rRNA". It matches the Rfam family "Bacterial small subunit ribosomal RNA", at positions 331 to 916 of the family's 1533-position model. The record is from RNAcentral.